UCUUUUUUUUUUCUUUUUUUUUUUCGUUCGGACCCCUUUUUUUCGAUUUGGUUCCCUUCUUUGACCGUACUUUUUUUUUCUUCUUUUCUUUUUCUUUUUCGGUCCCGCACAUAGACCGUACCAUUUUUUUUUUUAAAUAUCAUUCCCACACCAUAUGCAUUCAAUUUGAUUGCUCGAUUGCUCAGUUUAACGACAUGGCGGUCAAUAUAAAAUUGC
This 216-nucleotide long non-coding RNA is filed under the name Ananas comosus (pineapple). RNAcentral's name for it is "long non-coding RNA (ACOM_LNC036165)". The record is from RNAcentral. Lineage: Eukaryota; Viridiplantae; Streptophyta; Magnoliopsida; Poales; Bromeliaceae.